Molecule: long non-coding RNA, 424 nt
Organism: Melitaea cinxia (Glanville fritillary)
Lineage: Eukaryota; Metazoa; Arthropoda; Insecta; Lepidoptera; Nymphalidae
Exons: 4
Source: RefSeq, a predicted model, not a curated record
UCUAAAAUAAAAAGCAGAAAGCAAAAAGAAAGACCUUGCUUUCUGCACUAAGUUUGUGAGUCUGGGUCUAACGUAAAUAAAUAUAAUUUUCUAAUUACGAUGAUUUCUUUGAUUUGUUUUAUAGUAUCUAUCACUCUAACAUUCUUUUAUAUUCCCCGUGACCUACAAGAUUUUAACUUUCUACUCUUAUACAAAACAUAACGUAUCUCAGCGUAUUCCCUCUGAAGCUGCGUACUGUCUGAGCGUACCUGUCGGCUGUGAUCGAUUGUGUUACAAAAGAUGAAAGUUACUAAAAGCAUACAAAGAAUAGCGAACUAUUUUCGCUACGCCGCGUUGUCUAACAUUAGCUUGUCUAUCCUCGACGCAACUCGGAAUAGCAAAGUUGUGUCAUAUUAAAAAAAAAAAAAGAAACAUAUCAAAAUAA